CAAAAACAUUGCUUUCUGAACCUCAAUAGAAAGUAAUUCCUGCCCAGUGACCAAGUUCAACGGCCGCGGUAUCCUAACCGUGCAAAGGUAGCAUAAUCACUUGCCCAUUAAUUGUGGGCUAGAAUGAACGGAUAAACGAAAUAAGCACUGUCUCAAUUAGCAACCUAAAAACUACUAUCUAUAUGAAGAAGAAUAGAUUAAAUAGAAGGACAAGAAGACCCUGUAGAGCUUUAUAUUUAAAUAGAUAAAUACUACUAAGAUAUUCGGUUGGGGCGACCAAGGAAUAUGAAUCAUCCUUAAAUUUAAAGAUCUAUCAAUCAAAUAAAUGACCCUUUAAAGAUCAAAAAAACAAGCUACCUCAGGGAUAACAGGCUAAUCCCAUUAAAGAGUCCAUAUCGACAAUGGGGGUUGGCACCUCGAUGUUGGCUUAGGGUAUCUAUAUGGCGCAAAAGUCAUAUAAAGAUGGUUUGUUCAACCAAUAAUUCCCUACGUGAUCU
This 497-nucleotide ribosomal RNA is filed under the name Dichogaster saliens. RNAcentral describes it as "partial 16S ribosomal RNA". It matches the Rfam family "Bacterial large subunit ribosomal RNA", at positions 1808 to 2606 of the family's 2925-position model. Lineage: Eukaryota; Metazoa; Annelida; Clitellata; Crassiclitellata; Megascolecidae. The record is from RNAcentral.